AUUGAACGCUGGCGGCAGGCCUAACACAUGCAAGUCGAGCGGAAACGACUUAACUGAACCUUCGGGGGACGUUAAGGGCGUCGAGCGGCGGACGGGUGAGUAAUGCUUAGGAAUUUGCCCAGUCGAGGGGGAUAACCAUUGGAAACGAUGGCUAAUACCGCAUACGCCCUACGGGGGAAAGAGGGGGAUGCUUUUGCACCUUUCGCGAUUGGAUAAGCCUAAGUGAGAUUAGCUAGUUGGUGAGGUAAAGGCUCACCAAGGCGACGAUCUCUAGCUGGUUUGAGAGGAUGAUCAGCCACACUGGAACUGAGACACGGUCCAGACUCCUACGGAGGCAGCAGUGGGGAAUAUUGCACAAUGGGCGCAAGCCUGAUGCAGCCAUGCCGCGUGUAUGAAGAAGGCCUUCGGGUUGUAAAGUACUUUCAG
Molecule: ribosomal RNA, 426 nt
Filed under: uncultured bacterium
Lineage: Bacteria
Description: bacterial SSU rRNA
Rfam family: Bacterial small subunit ribosomal RNA
Source: RNAcentral